CCUACGGGUGGCAGCAGUGAGGAAUAUUGGUCAAUGGACGCAAGUCUGAACCAGCCAUGCCGCGUGCAGGAAGACGGCUCUAUGAGUUGUAAACUGCUUUUGUACGAGGGUAAAUCCCGAUACGUGUAUCGGGUUGAAAGUAUCGUACGAAUAAGGAUCGGCUAACUCCGUGCCAGCAGCCGCGGUAAUACGGAGGAUUCAAGCGUUAUCCGGAUUUAUUGGGUUUAAAGGGUGCGUAGGCGGUUCGAUAAGUUAGUGGUGAAAUCCCGGGGCUCAACCCCGGCCCGCCGUUGAAACUGGCAGUCUCGAGUUGGAGAGAAGUAUGCGGAAUGCGCGGUGUAGCGGUGAAAUGCAUAGAUAUCGCGCAGAACUCCGAUUGCGAAGGCAGCAUGCCGGCUCCACACUGACGCUGAGGCACGAAAGCGUGGGUAUCGAACAGGAUUAGAUACCCGGGUAGUC
Molecule: ribosomal RNA, 459 nt
Filed under: uncultured bacterium
Lineage: Bacteria
Description: partial 16S ribosomal RNA
Rfam family: Bacterial small subunit ribosomal RNA
Source: RNAcentral